UGCAUGAUGAGUAUUUGGGAUUUCUUGAGACGAUGAUGAUGACGUGCAGCCAGUAGGCAAGGUUGAUAGAUAUGCAUACACAGUCAUAAAAAGACUUUAUACGGAACGAAGUUUAGUCAGUCGUCUUCCUCGAUCAGUCCAAUUGCAUAAAUUGCAUGCAAUACGAAAAUAUACAUAAAUUUGGCUUGAACCCCUAGGUUUGUACGUUAAGGGUCGUGCAUCAAGGUUGUGAUAAAAUCAUGAUUUAAGUAGUUACUUACGUCAUACUGAGAUAUCGUGUCAAUCUAUUUACAUAUUAAUUAGUAAUUCUCGCUGGAAUGUACAUAUUUACAUAAAUAAGUACGUGUGAAUAACAUGCUUUAUGCACAACCGUAUCUCUUUUCCAUGCAUUAUUUAGCUCGUAAUUAAGGUUAAACUGACUUAAAUUUUGUUGCAUGUUUGACACUGAUUUCGUCUCUUCAUGGGCAAGGUUAAUCCUGUAACCAAGUGAACAUUUAACAUGCGUGUUGAGGUACUUGUACAUAAAUAUGUGUAGAUAUGUGUGUAAAGAAUACGUGUGUUCCUGUCUGUCUCACCGGAAACUUCAUUAAUCUCAUUACGAAAUUACCUCAUUUUUCUCAGUGUAGUAUGUACAUAAAUAAACCUCAUUUCCUCGUCCAGAAUAAUGCCUCAGUUCUUCAAGCUGUUAAAAAUCUUGUAAAUUCUGACUACUCAUUAAUGCAUAUGUGUGCAAACUCUAAGGUUAUUGUUGAGGGUUUCUCGGUAUUAAAGUUCCUACCGCUUGGUACUAAAAUUAUACAGGUCCGUAAAAAUUUGCUGUCGAUAUGGUAAAACUUUAAUGUCGAGCAAUUUGCUACGCGGUAUUACUUAUCAAUACCACUUAGUCAUGUAUGAAUACCGAUUGGUAUUAUUUUAAUACUGGAUUUCUAAUAGAUAGUGUAAUUAGCAUAAAAGUGCUACAUUAAGAAAGGCGUUUCCUUUCGGGUCAAUCCACCCUUAUAAAUAUAGGUAUUAUGUAGGUAAAUUCCCCGUCGACUGGAUCGUGGAGUUUAUUUUCUUAUCAAUUUCUUAUCAAUUUGCUCAUCAAUUUGAAUCUAUUUUUUGCAUAUUUGUCUCGGUUUAUGUACACACGCGUUGUAAAUGCGUAAAGCAUGUCAUCCAUUUUACAUGACUUAUCCCAUUCGCAUAUCAUCGCAUGCAAAUUUUAUCGGAGAGAUCAGAAUCCUGCUAAAAUCAAUCACACCCUUUAUGCGCGGUCCAUAACUAAACAAUAAAUGAGACCUGCUUGCUUCUAAUAAUUGCGAUUGCGAAAAAAUUGUUUUUUCCUCUUCAGUGGAAAAACUGUUUACACUAAACCACAAGUCAUGUGGACUAUAAAAUUGCCGGAAAUCUCCGCAAUUUCACACAACCUAUCACACUCCUUAUAAAUAAAUAUGUAAACUCAUAAUUUUCAGAAUCUUGUCAGACACUGAUACUCAUCUUUCUCUUCGCAAAUUGCGAUUCGCAAUUCGCAAUCCUCCCGCAAUGUGUAAACCCAAACCAAACCAAACCACCGACCGAAGUUUUACACACUUUGCCACUUAAAAGAUAUCCUUGGACUUCAAUUUAAAUAAAUUCCCCAUCCAAAACUCUUCUCACGCGUAUUAUGGAUUUGCGAAUACUGUAAAAUUCUACCCAUAACUUUUGUGCGCAUUCAUACGUCCAAGCUGCACAAAAAUUUCUCACUCGCAAAAAACUCUCUCACAUCAUUAAACAAACUUACGAAACAAACUGGUUUCCAGUCAGUCGCGACUUGCAUAUUGGACAUCUCCGCAUUUACGGAGGUGUACAAUCAAUAAUAAUAACAUAGAUACAUACAAGUAUAUAACUUGUUUCCUUUAUAUAAGUUAAAUAGCUGUGUUGUGAUUGCGAAUAUUUGUACCUGCAGCUGGAUUUGGAUUAGGGUACAAAAAUUUUAGUGGAAAUUAGUCAUUCAUAAUCGUAUUUUUAUAGAAGAGGGACGGAUAACAAGGAAAAAUCUGAUUUGCGUCGUCUGUGUACCUAAAGAAAAUGGGUGCACUCGAGUUUUUAGUGAUAUUUGAGGCCGUGGUGUACAUAAAGUUGAGUUUAAAAACGUUGUUAUAAGUUGAACAUAGUAAUAUCACAGUUAAAAGUGCAGAUAUUUAUAUAACUUUUAUGUCAGCUUGUUAAAAAAGUGACAUUAUAUUGACAUCGGUUCAAAUGUGAUUUUAUGAAACGUCCUCCCCCCACGAGUUUCUCGCAUGGAGCCCGACCGUUCCAAGGGAAGAACUGCGUUCAACGAGGAUUUCCUCCACAACUAUGCCGACCUUAUCAACCUAAUUUCCGGGAAGGAUGGUCGGCGCCCGGUGCGCGCCGUGUGUCCCAAUUGCACGUGCUUAGUGACCACGGAAAUUCGGUAUGAAGAGAAUGAACCCGCGUUACGAACCUGUAACCGAAUUUUUAUCGCUGGACUGAUCACUUUUUUUACCGUGACGAUCUCCAUCUGCACUUUUUUCGCCGUGUGGAUGGAAUCCUUACUUCUCUACGGAUUAAUCGGAGCCGGAUUAAUCGUCGCUUUUUGUCUGACAUUUCUCGUUGUAAAAAUUUAUGUCAAUGCGAGACUCGUUUAUGAUGAUGUGGUCCAUUUCUGUCCUCUUUGUAGAAAUCGGUUGGGGGUUAGGAAACCGAGGGGGUGUGUCGGGUGGUGGAGCGUGUAGUGGGAAAAUUGUGAUAGCCUGGUUUGCAUUGUAAGUCGGCGAGUUGAUUGCGGAAAAAUUUUGCGAAAAAGGGCCACUGAAAUUUCAUGGAUAAAUUUGCGAAAUCAAAUACACAGGUGCUUACGCACAGACUUCUGAGUUCUGAGAAACUUUUCAGAAUUUGGCUGGCAACUUUGGGAAAUUCAGCUAAAUAUGCAAAGUUGAAGAGCAAAUAUUGUAAUAAAGUGAUUAGCUCGACUGUUUGUAAAGCAAUAAAGUAUGUCUAUAAACAUACUAUAGUAAAUUUGCAAAAACUAAGAUUGUAAGUCAUUUCAAACUUCUCUCGGAAACUCCUAAAAGUUUGAAAAAAAAUUGACAAAAAAGAACAUUUUACUGGGUUACAUGUACAUGCAUACAUACAUACACGAGUUAAUUCUCACACAUUAUAAAACCUUACAUAAACUCAACUUCAAUUAAAUUGGGUGACAGCAUUUACAUAAAAUAAUAAUAAUUAUAUUAUUGUGUUCAAUUCCUUUGUGAUCUCAAUACCAGUAGUAUAAUUGAAAGGAUAUAAAUAACUGUUAAUUUUACGUUACCUUUGUAACACUACUGCAAGUAUUUUAUAUAUAAUAGUCCAGUUUUUUUGUAAAUUAAUAAAUAAAUGCGUACAAUUUAUAGAACGAAUUUAAAUUAAAAUCUUGUCAGAAUUUGAAUACAAAGUUUUAUUUGUGUCAAUCAAAAUUAAGUGGUUUCAUUUGGAUUAACAUUUAUACAUACGUAAAUCGUUUUUAUUAAUUAUGGCGAACUGUUUAACUCUGCCAAAAUUAACUGAUGAGAGAACUCACGUCAUACUUACAUAUGUAUGUAUGUACAAAAUCAUAUGAAUAUAUGUACAAAUGUAUAAUUUACAUCAUUUAAAUUCCCAUGAGUCCAAAUUUUUAUUUUAUAACACGCUUCUUUUAAAAUGUCAUCGAACUAAGCUUGCGAAGAGUGAACGUAUCGAUUUCUUUGGUAAAUUUUGGGAAAAAAUCUCAUAGUUUCUAAGUAAAAUUUUCGCAAACUCUUGCAUUAUUUUGAAGAAAAGUUACGUUUGUAUGUAUGUACGAGUGUAUGUAUAUGUAUGCACAUUAAUAUGUACAUAUGUUGAUAUGCUUAAUUUACGAGAUUUGUACACCCGUUUCACAAAAAUAUUAUUCCUGGCUCUCAUUUUAUUAGCGUAUUGUCCACAAAAUCAAUUAUCCCAUUGUUCUAAAUCAAGUCGUCGGAUAUGGCACAUUAAUUUUGAGAGACCCGUUAAAAUAUAGUUGACCUUGUUGUGCACAUAUGUAAGAUGGACUCCAGGGUAACCCAGAGUGGGAUGAACCAUGUUUUUACAUAUUUUACUAAGAUGCAAAGUCUUCGUGGUGUUAAAUAUGAUUUUCAUAAUGCAGAAUCAGUUAAGCAAUUCGAGGGAGGCUUCAAAAUCCGAAAUUUCGCAAAACUUAUCUAAUCAAUAUGCACAAUCUUCAUGAAACUAUAUUUAAAACAUUUCGUGAGAACCCUGCUUCGCGUUUUAAGGUCGAAUUGGAUCACCACCCGAAGAGAACGUGUCGCAUAAAUAGGUUUGUUUAACAUGCACAUAUAUUUGUACCAAAUUUUACACUAGCAUUGAACAACUCGCUCUUUUUGAUCGCUCAGGAACGUAAGUGAAUUUUUAGAACUUCAAAUUGUUAUCAUACAAAUUAUUAAUUCAAUUCAGAUCUUAAUUUUUUUUCUCAGCAUGAUGAACAAAUCCGUAUUUUUUGCCGUGCUCAUAAUAGCAUCCCUUAUCGGGGUCACUACCGCUAAUCCAGAUAGUGAACUGGACCUACUCGGACUUGACUCUGGUGCGAAGCAGGCUUACGAAUCAGGUAUGGAGGAGCAUCCGCGGUUUAGACGUCGCCAUCUUGGCCCCCGCGGCGGACGCUGUUGGUACAUAUACUGCCCACCCAAUCCCCCAACAAUGCAAGACUACUACUACUAGCGACAACAUACACAAACACCGCAGAAUUAAAUAAAUUUGCGAAAAUAUUUUGUCACAAAUAAAAAUCUAUUACAUACAACUUUUGCACAUAAAAUCAAUAUAUAUGUAUGUAUUUAUAUUUAGAAGAAUUCCAACGCAAAAAUUGAAAUUUUAUAAUAAUGUCUUAAUAUUCAGGUGUUUAUUUCAUAUUUGUCUAAACUUAUUUCGCAGUUAUCACUGAUAACUUCAUGAAUCAGCAUGAACUGUGAGGAACGAACAAAUAGGUGAUGAAAUGUGGGGAAUAUAAUUUGGGGGAAUAAAGAGUGCAGAUUGGCGUGUGGGGGACGAAGUGUAAGAACAUUUAAAACAA
Folsomia candida is the source of this 5047-nucleotide long non-coding RNA. RefSeq lists it as uncharacterized. The record is from RefSeq and is a predicted model, not a curated record. The transcript has 3 exons. NCBI's taxonomy places the organism in Eukaryota, Metazoa, Arthropoda, Collembola, Entomobryomorpha, Isotomidae.